Molecule: ribosomal RNA, 441 nt
Filed under: uncultured bacterium
Lineage: Bacteria
Description: bacterial SSU rRNA
Rfam family: Bacterial small subunit ribosomal RNA
Source: RNAcentral
UACGGAAGGCAGCAGUGGGGAAGUAUUGCACAAUGGGCGCAAGCCUGAUGCAGCCAUGCCGCGUGUAUGAAGAAAGGCCUUCGGGUUGUAAAGUACUUUCAGUCGUGAGGAAGGUGUUAAGGUUAAUAACCUUAGCAAUUGACGUUAGCGACAGAAGAAGCACCGGCUAACUCCGUGCCAGCAGCCGCGGUAAUACGGAGGGUGCGAGCGUUAAUCGGAAUUACUGGGCGUAAAGGGCACGCAGGCGGUUAAUUAAGUUGGAUGUGAAAUCCCCGGGCUUAACCUGGGAAUGGCAUUCAAGACUGGUUAGCUAGAGUCUUGUAGAGGGGGUAGAAUUCCAUGUGUAGCGGUGAAAUGCGUAGAGAUGUGGAGGAAUACCGGUGGCGAAGGCGGCCCCUGGACAAAGGCUGACGCUCAUGUGCGAAAGCGUGGGGAGCAAAC